Long non-coding RNA from Mastomys coucha (southern multimammate mouse), 542 nucleotides. RefSeq lists it as uncharacterized. NCBI's taxonomy places the organism in Eukaryota, Metazoa, Chordata, Mammalia, Rodentia, Muridae. The transcript is spliced from 3 exons. The record is from RefSeq and is a predicted model, not a curated record.
AGGGAUGACCUGCCAGGUAUCAGAACACAGAAGAGCAGAGAUAGAAAAGACCUCACAAAUAGAUGGAUAUUUGGUACAAUUCAGCAUCCUCAGGUUUGAUCAGGGAAACCUUCGCUGCCUGGGUACCUGGAACUACUAUAGAGACCUGCUCGUUACUUCUAGAGGACACCGGAAGGGAACUCGUGAUCAUGAUCAGGGGAUUUUGAAGGGCUCAUCGGGGAUCGCUUGAAGAGAGGCCUCGGAGUCCUGCUUGAGGACUGGCCUAGGAAGACUGGGGCUUUGGAAGGCUGUGAGCAGUGAGCUCUUGGGAUGUUUUUCUUCAAUGUUCGGAUCAGGCUGUGGCUGAGAGGACACGACUGCUAGAGAAGGGACCACCGGAGCUUUCCUAAGAAACCUCUUCUGCCUUGAGGGGAGAUGUGCACAGCUGGAACUGAUAAUCACAGAGAGAACCCGAACAGCUUGGAAUACCAGGUCCUGGGGCUAGGAGGUAGGGCUUUCUCUAUUGUUUCUCCCAGAAGGCUUUGCACAUGGGCAAGGUAAUG